AAAGAGGUCAGCUAAAUAAGCUAAUGAGUUCAUACCUCAUAAAUGAAUUGUUUAUUAUACCCUCUA
This 66-nucleotide transfer RNA is filed under the name Mesabolivar sp. ITV1036I1. RNAcentral's name for it is "tRNA-Met". Lineage: Eukaryota; Metazoa; Arthropoda; Arachnida; Araneae; Pholcidae. The record is from RNAcentral. RNAcentral also lists the same sequence under 1 other name.